CAGAGGCUCCUCAUGGCUAACUGGGGCAUUACUGAGAAGGUCAGCUUCAUGGUAACAGAUAAUGCUGCCAACAUGAAGCUGAGUGUCCAGCUCCUCAACCUCCGGCACAUGCCCUGCUUCGCUCACACACUGAAUCUAAUUGUGAAAAAAGCAUUGGAUCAUACACCCGUUAUUAAUGAUAUAAGAGACAAAAGCAGGAAAGUGGUGGGACUGUUCAGGUCAAGCAGCAAGGCCAAAGAAAAACUAAAUGAAAUGCAAAUGCUGAUGGGACGGCCAAUGCUAAAACUACUUCAGGAGGUGGAUACCAGGUGGAACAGCACUUUUGACAUGUUUCAACGGCUGUAAGAGCAAAGAGAACCUGUGGAGGCAGCUCUGUCCAAUCUGGAGAAGGACAUUUCUCCUCUGACCAGUGCAGAUUAUGACAUCGUUCAGGAAUCGUUUCUGCUGCAGCCUGUCAAGGCAGCAACAACUGAGCUGUCAGAGGAGAAGAGGGUCUCAGCCUCAAAAGUGACCCCGCUGUAUAGAACGCUGCAGCAUAAGCUGUUUGAUCAUUUGAAACAAACAAAGCAACAAUCAACUUUACAGUUGGACACACUGUUGAAGGUCGGCCUGCAGCAAAGAUGUGGCCAGUAUGAGACAU
Long non-coding RNA from Periophthalmus magnuspinnatus, 640 nucleotides. RefSeq lists it as uncharacterized. The transcript is spliced from 3 exons. Lineage: Eukaryota; Metazoa; Chordata; Actinopteri; Gobiiformes; Gobiidae. The record is from RefSeq and is a predicted model, not a curated record.